Sinocyclocheilus anshuiensis is the source of this 192-nucleotide long non-coding RNA. RefSeq lists it as uncharacterized. The transcript is spliced from 3 exons. NCBI's taxonomy places the organism in Eukaryota, Metazoa, Chordata, Actinopteri, Cypriniformes, Cyprinidae. The record is from RefSeq and is a predicted model, not a curated record.
AGAGAAAGUUGGGCAGCUGUUGACAGCUUUCACAACAAAUCAAGUGAUUAAUUUUACUCCCCAACAGACUAAAGAGCCAACUAAUACUAGGUCUCUGGUGCUCAGAGGACUCCCUAUCGUCCUUGGCGACAAACCUACAGAUUUCUACAAAGUAUGCUUUGACUCUGAUGAUGAUUACUGAUGACAUUGGAA